ACUGAGGUAGAGAGAGGUAACAUGACUUACCCGAGGUCCCUCAGCCAGGGCAGAGCAGAGCAGAGCAGGGACUCUGGGCUAGGGCCAUAGGGGCAUCUUUCAGUGAAACCAUUAGGCCCUAGAGUCCUGAGAGUGUGGGGGACUGGGUGGGGGUCCCUUCCACACAUAUAAACACACUCACAGACCCACAGAUGUACACAGAUGGAGACACGCGGAGGGAUAUACGCACAUCUAUUCAUGACACAAAAAUUCAUAGAUGCACGCCCUUCCUACACAGACACACACACGAACACACAUACACAUACAUGCCAACUCUGAGCCUGUGAGCCCAGGGUCCUGGGCUUAAGUCAGUACAUAGGUGCAAUGUGGGGCUCCGGGCCUGUCUCCUACACCAGAAGGCCCAGGUGGGGUACCGGGUGUGGAGGGGGCAGCAUGUCCAGUCCUGCGAGGCAGGGGUAGGGUGGCCUCUCCCUUCCUCCUGUCCCUGCCACCUGAAUCCCAGGCCACCAACCACCCAGCACUGAUGCUGUGCCUGUCCACACACCUGGUGUCACCCUGCGUGGUCCCUCCCCUCCCCAGCUCUGUGGGCCCCUCACCUUCUGCUCACUGAUCACCCUCUGGCCGAUGAGGCCCUGCAGGCCUGGCCUCGGAGCAGGGUAGGUGGCUCAGGCUGCAGGGAGCCAGGCCCAGCUCUUAGGGUGGACACUGUCACUAGGUCAUUUAUAGAUCCCGGUCCCCUGUCCUGGAGGCCCCCGCUUACCUUUGGGAGCGGCAGAUAGGUGCCGGGCCUGCACACAGGCCUCAGGAGCCUCUGUUUGUCCAGGCCAAGGCCUCCCCACCCCCACCCAGCCAGCCCAGGCUGGAUCAAUGGCCUAGAGCCAUGACCAGGGUGUCUGGCCCUUGUCCCCUGUGGCCUGUGGCCUCAGGCUCCAUGGAACUCCUCCUGCUGGGUCCUGGACAGCACUGUGACUAAGUACAGGUAAACAGGCAGGAGGUAGGAGAAGGCAGUGCCUGCCCCGCCCCAUCUUCCCCCACCCCCGCAUGGGCACCCCAGAGGCUGGCAGGCAGGUGCGGGAGAUCUGAGCUCUCCCCCGAGGCCCGUUGCCUGGUGACAUGCCUGCCUGGUUACAGCCCCUGGUCCCCGAGAGCAUGAGGUAGGGACAGCCAAGGACUGGGGACUGUGCAGAGGCCGGUGCAGGAUUACAGGCAUGAGCGACCGCACGCAGCAUGAAUUCCUACCUGGUUCCGUAGCGCUGUGCUGUCCAUGACGGUAGCCGCUGGUCACCCGUGGCUCUUGAGUCAGUCUGAACUGAGAAAAGCUGCACGGGGGAGACGCACACCAGGUUUCCAAGGCCAAGUGCAAACAGGAUGUCAACCAACGCGAUAACAAUUUUUAUAUUGAUUUUAUGUUGAAAUAACACUGGUGAUCAUGGGAUAAAUAAAAUGUAUUAUUAAAAGCAAUUUUCUUCUGGCUCUCUUGUUUUUUUUUUUU
This 1492-nucleotide long non-coding RNA is filed under the name Homo sapiens (human). RNAcentral's name for it is "HSALNT0277613". Lineage: Eukaryota; Metazoa; Chordata; Mammalia; Primates; Hominidae. The record is from RNAcentral.